Molecule: ribosomal RNA, 824 nt
Filed under: uncultured bacterium
Lineage: Bacteria
Description: bacterial SSU rRNA
Rfam family: Bacterial small subunit ribosomal RNA
Source: RNAcentral
CUGGUGAGUAACGCGUGGGCGACCUGCCCCGGGGAUGGGGACAGCCGUUGGAAACAGCGGGUAAUACCGAAUACGUUCACUAUGCUACGGCAUGGUGAGGAAAGGGGCUACGGCCCCGCCCCGGGAUGGGCCCGCGUCCCAUUAGCUUGUUGGCGGGGUAACAGCCCACCAAGGCGAAGAUGGGUAGCCGGCCUGAGAGGGCGAACGGCCACACUGGGACUGAGAUACGGCCCAGACUCCUACGGGAGGCAGCAGCUAAGAAUAUUCCGCAAUGGACGAAAGUCUGACGGAGCGACGCCGCGUGGAUGAGGAAGGCCGAAAGGUUGUAAAAUCCUUUUGCAGGCGCAGAAGAAGGCGGGGAGGGAAUGCCCCGUCGGUGACAAAGGUCUGUGAAUAAGCCCCGGCUAAUUACGUGCCAGCAGCCGCGGUAACACGUAAGGGGCGAGCGUUGUUCGGAAUUAUUGGGCGUAAAGGGCGCGUAGGCGGCCUGGCAAGUCCGGCGUGAAAUAUCGGGGCUUAACCCCGGGGCUGCGCUGGAAACUGCCUGGCUUGAGUCACGGAGGGGCAGCCGGAAUUCCUGGUGGAGGGGUGAAAUCUGUAGAUAUCAGGAAGAACACCGGUGGCGAAGGCGGGCUGCCAGCCGAUGACUGACGCUGAGGCGCGAAAGUGCGGGGAGCAAACAGGAUUAGAUACCCUGGUAGUCCGCACUGUAAACGAUGUGCACUAGGUGUCGGGGCGAGCGUCUCGGCGCCGGAGCGAACGCGAUAAGUGCACCGCCUGGGGAGUAUGCCCGCAAGGGUGAAACUCAAAGGAAUUGACGGAAU